AUGGCCUUUUGUCUGCUGCCAGUGGGGGCUGGCCCUGCUGGAGGGCGGCGCGGCUCGCGGAAGGGCGACGGCCGGGAGCGGCGGGUGCGCGCGGGGCGGGUGCGCGCUCGGCCGGGGCGCGGGCUGGGCACCCCCGGCCUCCCUCGGGCAGCCGCUCGGUGCUCACGGCUCCGCGCGCGCCCGCCUCCCUCCUCCUCCUCCUCCUCCUCCUCCCCCCUCCUCUUUCUCUCCCCUCCCCCUCCCCCUCCUCCUUCCACUCCCCCUCCUCCUCCUCCUCCUCCUCCUCCCCCUCCUCUUUCUCUCCCCUCCCCCUCCCCCUCCUCCUUCCCCUCCUCCUCCUCCUCCUCCUCCUCCCCCUCCUCUUUCUCUCCCCUCCCCCUCCCCCUCCUCCUAUCCCCUCCUCCUUCCCCUCCUCCUCCUCCUCCUCCUCCUCCUCCUCCCCCUCCUCCUAUCCCCUCCUCCUUCCCCUCCUCCUCCUCCCCUUCCCUCCCCUCACUUCCUCUCCCUUCCCAAACCCCAGCUCGCAUCACCCUUCCCGCCUCCUCCCACCCCUCCCCUUUCUCCUCCCACUUCCUCCUUCCUUCUCCCUCUCGAGAAGGACCCGAAAAGCUGGAGUCGGCUUCUGCUGUCCCUGGAGUGGCCUGUGCACACCAGUCCCCUCCCUGCCCCUGGACAGCCACCCUGCUCCUGCCGGGCUGCAAGCUUCGAGGCCUUCAGAUCGGGGCACCCUUGGACCUGGCCUCCUUCAAGAGGCAGGGGCACAGACCUCCGCGACUAAGGUCCAGCGGGACUUGCAUCCGGUCCUCGUCUAGACAGUCUAGAAGAGGCUUCCGUAAUAUAGGCUUUAUUCUGUUCGAAGUAAUAGGAAAUAUCCUUUAUCAGGCCCUUCCCUGGCUCUCCACUCUCCUGCUUUGGGUGUCCAAGGACAGGACCUCCAGCCUAGCUUCCCGAGGCCAAACCUCUCCCUCUCUCUCUGCCCCAAAAGCCACCUCCCAAUCUUCCUGA
This 1005-nucleotide long non-coding RNA is filed under the name Felis catus (domestic cat). RNAcentral's name for it is "lncRNA (ENSFCAG00000052075.1)". Lineage: Eukaryota; Metazoa; Chordata; Mammalia; Carnivora; Felidae. The record is from RNAcentral.